UAGCAUUAAGUCCGUGUGUCCCUCCUGUCAACAAGAUGCAGCUUUACUUACUAAGAUUUUUAAAUAUUUCAAGAUUAGUUAUUAAUAUUGUACUACCAAAUGACAGUUGUUUUGUUGAGAACUUGAGAUUGAACAUGUGGUGCACAGGAAGAUCAUUGUUAUUUGAGUCAACCUUUCAAUUAGAAAGUUAUUUGGACACCACAGUGAUAUUAAAGGAAAAAUUCACUUCCUCAAUGCUUUUUAUUAAAGAGUGUUUCUUAUAGCUUUUUGCAAACUAUGGUUUGAUCAUGUGGUUGCACAGUGUGUUCAGUCAGAUGUCUGUUAGAAGGAGGAAGUCAGUUCGGUCUCAAAGAUUUAUCACAGCUCUGAGGAUGUCGAGGAUUGUUUCCUGUCUGUUCUGUAAGACCAUAUUUUUCUUAUCUUAUUUAUUUUACUUUCAUUUGACAAUAAAUUAAGUGUCUCAUGGAUUCUUCUGUUUUUUAGGUGUCUUAAGACUGUGUGUUGGUGCUGAGGCUUUGACAGAGACACUGGUAGAGCUUGGACACAAUGCAACCCUGAACUGUUCUCUUAAUGUAAAUAAUGUACACUGGUACCUACAUCGCCACCCACAGCCUCCACUGGCCAUACUCCGCUCUUUCACUAGUAGUAGUCCUGCUGCUUUUUAUUACAAUAAUACUACUUUUAGACAGAAAUAUUCAUUAGAAACAGGAAAUCGAUUGUUAAUACAGAAUGUAACAGUAGAUGAUUGUGGAGUGUUCUACUGUGCAAAGAAAGAAAACGAUAAUCUCCUAUUCAGUAAUGGCACCAGACUCAUGACCACUGGUAAGGGCACAUUUCAUUUAAUCACCAACAUUUUCUAUUUUGUCGAAAAUAUACUUUUGAAAUAUGUUUUUGUUCAUGUUUAACGCAGCUAGGUGCAAGACCACUACAGAAAUGUUACGUCCACUUUGAGUACCAUAACUCAAAGUGGAUGUAGGCUAUAAAUGUUUUCCAUAACCCUGCAGAUCUUGAAUCAAUCAAUGAAACAACAAACACAAGUGUGAAGCUCCGUAAGUGAUUAUGUUUGACCCUGAAGCAACAGAGCAACCCAGAGACGUCAACACAACAUGGCUAAAGGGUCUUCUCAUUGGAUCCGGGGUCUUGAAUGCAGUGCUCAUUUUAUUGCUGUCAGCCAUUUCAGUGCUGUGGAAGAGAGCUGCUUGCCAGAAGAACCAUGACUCUCCUCCAACCCCUGAACCACUUGAAAGGGCAGACAGUCUAGUGUAUGAAGUGAUACAGCUGGUACCCCCACCAAGAGGACUAAGGCCCGACCGCAUAGCCUCAACUAUUUACUCCAGAGUCCAAUUUCCAAAUCCUGAACUCACAACUACUGCUUAAUAAGGUGCCACAUCUUGACUUUGGUGGAGAAUGUGAAUCUACUCUGAUUAUUCCUAUAUUUAUAUAAUGUACCAAAUGCUGCUCUUCGUCACUCGUCUAUAUACCAGUUAGCAAUAUCUUUGAAGGAAAUUAUUACUUUUGUCUUGAUUCAUGUUUUUCAUUGUUCAUUGCUGGAAAUAAGUGUUCAUUUGUCUUAAAAGUAAAUUGUAACUUUUUUGUCAAGCAGUUAGGAAGGGGUUUGUGUAUUUCUGUAAAAAAAAAAAAAACAAGCCUUUUGUAGUGUAUUGAUGCUGCAUCAACCACACAUAUCCUGUUUGAGAGCUUAGUCGCUUACUGAGCAGCACGCAUGUCCCAAUUACUGUACAAUUGACCAUUUUUAACAAUGACUUUUUCAAACAUUAAACUAGAGUUUUGAAUUUUAAGUUCAUUAAAAAGCCUACUGCAUGUGCCCCAUAACACCUUUGUGAGUAGAAGGUAGUGGUUUGUCUAUUUUAGUUGUUUAAGUUCUGUCACGAUCGUCGUUAGGUGAAAGAGGACCAAGGCGCAGCGUGAUAUAAAUACAUCUUUUUAAUAGAAGAAGAAACGAACACUAAUACAAACUAGACAAACCAACAAGAAGCUAUCAAACGAAAGUGCAGACACAAGCAACUAACGUCAAGACAUAGACAAUUACCCACAACCUACCUAAUGCCUAUGGCUGCCUAAAUAUGGCUCUCAGAGACAACGAUAGACAGCUGUCUCUAAUUGAGAACCAAUCCAGGCAACCAUAGACUUACAUAAACACCUACACUGAACACAACCCCAUGAACUCUACAAAACCCCCUAGACAAUACAAACACCCAAAACUAGACAAAAACACACAAACAUCCCCCAUGUCACACCCUGACCUAACUAAAAUAAUAAAGAAAACUAAGAUAACUAAGGCCAGGGCAUGAAAAGUUCAGACCACUGUAAGAAAGGUAAUGUCAGUGUAUUGCACUUUUUUCAAACAUCUCAGUGUUCACUCUUCAUGGAAAUAAAAUCUGUUUUGGAAUAAACCACCUCUUAUCUGAGGUACUCUACCUA
Molecule: RNA transcript, 2442 nt
Organism: Salvelinus fontinalis (brook trout)
Lineage: Eukaryota; Metazoa; Chordata; Actinopteri; Salmoniformes; Salmonidae
Exons: 4
Source: RefSeq, a predicted model, not a curated record